RNAcentral lists this unclassified non-coding RNA (395 nucleotides) under Hevea brasiliensis (rubber tree). Lineage: Eukaryota; Viridiplantae; Streptophyta; Magnoliopsida; Malpighiales; Euphorbiaceae. The record is from RNAcentral.
UAUGAAUGUGGUGAACCUGGUCAUUUUGCUCGAGAGUGCCGCCUGCGCAUUGGGUCAAGAGGUUUGGGAAGUGGGCGUCGCCGAAGCCCUAGCCCACGCCGCCGCAAGAGUCCAAGUUAUGGUUAUGGGCGCAGGAGUUAUAGCCCCCGUGGUAGAUCUCCAAGACGCCGCAGCCUAUCACCUCACCGUGGUCGCAGCUACAGCAGAUCCCCUCCAUACCGUCAUGCCCGUCGUGAUUCACCUUAUGCUAAUGGAGAUUAGGGCUGGAAGCUGAACUGAAGCAAGAGUGGAAGGACAUUAGAGGCAAUAUCUGCUAUACUGUAGUUCUUAUAGGAUCAGUUGAUGUUAGUUAUGUUCAUGUCAUGACAAUAAGGUUGCAAUUUAAAGUGUGAACG